Homo sapiens (human) is the source of this 3358-nucleotide long non-coding RNA. RefSeq lists it as uncharacterized. The transcript has 4 exons. The record is from RefSeq and is a predicted model, not a curated record. Lineage: Eukaryota; Metazoa; Chordata; Mammalia; Primates; Hominidae.
CUAGUUGUUUUUUUUUCUUUUUCUUUGAUGAACCCUCUAGGCCUACAGAAUAAUCUAUUCCGAAGUAAUCUUUCAACCGCAAGUUUUCUAUCAGUAAGAAUUUGGCAGAAUUGUUGCAAACUCUAGUAUUUAGGUUACACAUAAUUGUCAUUAAAGGGUAAUGAAAUUUAUCAUUAUAACUAUCAAGUUAUAACUGAACAUUAUAGGAUUCUAAAUGGAUAUUACCUGGAAGGAAAUAAGACAUGAUCUUGGUCAUAUCAACAGUUAGAUCAUCCAAAUAACAAUGAGUCUAAUAGGAGAUAUUCAACCAGUGCAAAUCUCACAAGGUCACCCCACAUAUAUCCAAGAAUGAACAAUUAAAAUAUCUGCUAACACUUAAUAUGCAGGUAGUGGAGAAAUGUAAACUUAAGAGAAGUUUAUUGAGUCAAGUAAUUUGUGUUGAUUUACCCACCAUUUUUCAGAUGUUUGCAGACAAUUUAAUUCUGGUCUUUGGGAGUUAUACCCUCAAAUUUCCUAAGGGGUAGGAGUAGGAGUUGGGAAUAUCUUUCGUUCUUUGGAGCUUGGCAUUGCUUAUUUCCUUGAUGGUUUGUUUGUUGUUCUGACCUAGUGCUCUAAUUAGCUGUUGAAGGAAAAGGCUCUUUAGGGAAGUCACUGAGUGAGGUGUAACUAAGCCCUGACAAAAGGGGUUAGCCUGUGGCUGGUCAAAGUGGGAUUAAAGUAGUGAGGAAUCAACCUGAAAGUUUACAACAUCAGUAAAAAGCAUGUAUGAGGGAAUAUCAGGGUAUGGAAACUUCUCAAAGAAAUGUUGAUCAAAAGCUAUGUAGUCUUUCAUAUUUCCUGUAUCGUGCCAGUUAUGAGGCUCUUGUCUCUCAGCUUCAAAUGUACCCUUCCAUAUUCUGCUUUGUGAUUUUGAAAUUCUGCAAAACAUAUUUCUGCUUUGCCAGCAGGCUUUCUGUUAGACCCUGUCAAUAAGAGGUGCUGGAAAAAGACAGUAAGGCUUGAGGAAGAACACAUUCCUUUCUGCUCGUUACCUUAGCCUGUUUGUACUUCCUGUUCUUGUUACCGUUGUGUCAGCCAUAAUUUUUUUUCACCUCAGUAACAGCAGUUGAUUUCAGCUUGCAAUUUUUUCCAACACUCAGAGACAGAAUCUGUUCUGCCACCCUUCGGAGGCACCAGCAACAGCUGACAGUGUCCAUGAGAGGCCUGGAUCCUAGUUCCCUGGACCCCCAACUCCAAGCAGAGACAUCAGUGGUGGCUGAGCACUGUCCAAUUAGAGGUCCAUGUUCCAGUACUGUGGGGCCCUUUCUCCUAGAUUUUAUUCUUUAAUUCCAACUCUUUUGUUUGUCUUCCCAGCUCUAGAAAUAAUACCUACUUCUGGAAAUUGCCACUUCGAGGACACAUUAGUUUUCCUUUUUGCAUUUUUAUUUUUCAAUACUUAACAAUUAUUUACACUGAAUUAUCUUUAUUAAAAUAAGUGGUGUUUUUAAUUCUGUGACUGGAUGCUAUAACUGAUACAUUCCUUGUCUAUUACUCAAAAUGGCUUUUUUUUUAAGAGGCUUUCCUCAUUUGGGAGUAAACAAUGAAGAAAAUUAACAAAAUAAAAUAUAGAAUGCAGAAAGAAAAAUAAAAUUAUAAAAUCGUUUUGUUUCUUAGAAGAUCAUAUAUAGUUCUUGCGGGCGCACGGCACCAGGACUGGCAGGCAGCUCCACCUGCAGCCCCGGUGCAGGAUCCACUGGGUGAAGCCAGCUGGGCUCCUGAAUCUGGUGGGGAUGUGGAGAACCUUUAUGCCUAGCUCAGGGAUUGUAAAUACAGCAGUCGGCACUCUGUAUCUAGCUCAAGGUUUGUAAACACACCAAUCAGCACCCUGUGUCUAGCUCAGGGUUUGUGAAAGCACCAAUCCACACUGUAUCUAGCUACUCUGGUGGGGCCUUGGAGUACCUUUGUGUGGGACACUCUGUAUCUAGCUAAUCUGGUGGGGACUGGAGAACCUUUGUGCCUAGCUCGGGGAUUGUAAACACACCAAUCAGCGCCCUGUCAAAACAGAACACUCGGCCCUACCAAUCAGCAGGAUGUGGGUGGGUCCAGAAAAGAGAAUAAAAGCAGGCUGCCCCAGCCAGCAGUGGCAACCCGUUUGGAUCCCCUUCCGCACUGUGGAAGCUUUGUUCUUUCGCUCUUUGCAAUAAAUCUUGCUACUGCUCACCCUUUGGGUCCACACUGCCUUUAUGAGCUGUAACACUCACUGCGAAGGUCUGCAGCUUCACUCCUGAAGCCAGCCAGACCACGAGCCCACCGGGAGGAACGAACAAUUCCAGACUUGCCGCCUUAAGAGCUGUAACGCUCACCGCGAAGGUCUGCAGCUUCACUCCUGAAGCCAGCCAGACCACGAGCCCACCGGGAGGAACGAACAACUCCAGACGCGCCGCCUUAAGAGCUGUAACACUCACCGGGAAGGUCUGCAGCUUCACUCCUGAGCCAGCGAGACCACGAACCCACCAGAAGGAAGAAACUCUGAACACAUCUGAACGUCAGAAGGAGCAAACUCCAGACGUGCCACCUUAAGAGCUGUAACACUCACUGCGAGGGUCCGCAGCUUCAUUCUUGAAGUCAGUGAGACCAAGUUCCGGACACAUUCUCAGGGCCAAAAUGGCUGACUAGAAGCAGCUACAGUGUGUAGCUCUCAGGGAGAGGAAGGAAAGGGAAGAGUAAAUACAGCACCUUCAACUGAAAUAUCCAGGUAUUCACAUUGGGACUGACCAGGGAAACAGCUGGACCCACAGAGAACGAAGAAAAGCAGGGCAGGGUGAUGGCCUGCACGAGAGUGACACGGAGCCAAGGGAACCUCCCCCUCCCAGGGAAGUGGGCAUGAAAGGUUCAAAUAGAAAAGCAGCAUGGUGAUGGGGCUGACUGUUCCAGAAUUGAUGUGCCCGUGCUCCGUGAGGAACGCAGCUCAUCUGUACCAGCAAAUGUGUUGGCUCCUGCCUGCAAUUGUAUCAUUCAGGUGUGCAUUGUAAAAACAAUUCACGGAUAAGCACAGUUGCUCUGGCAAGAACUUCCAGUACAGCGUUGAUGAGCAGUGGUAAAAGGAUUUCACUGUUUUCUGCUAUCUGGAUUUUCCCAAAGAUCCGCUAAAUCCUAAACUUCAUCUUGGUCUGAAGAAGGGCAAGUCCUCUCUCCAGCUCUUCAUUUGCUGACUCUCACUGAUGCAAGAAGAAUGAAGUCUCUUACCUGCCUUCUCCUAGGACAUCCUGGGAGAAACUGUGACUGCUGGUGUGUUCUCAAAACUCACCAACAUGAUUCUCCUUGUGGCUAUAUGACUCUAGAAAGGGAAUUUAAAUAAAAUGAUAACAAUUAACAGAUA